AAUAAUGGAGUCCAGAAACCAUUCAAAAAAACGGGGCGUAAUCCAAAAAGCCUUACGAGUAGGAAAG
Molecule: non-coding RNA, 67 nt
Filed under: Mesonia oceanica
Lineage: Bacteria; Pseudomonadati; Bacteroidota; Flavobacteriia; Flavobacteriales; Flavobacteriaceae
Description: DUF805 RNA
Rfam family: DUF805 RNA
Source: RNAcentral